Georgenia sp. is the source of this 65-nucleotide non-coding RNA. The record is from Rfam. NCBI's taxonomy places the organism in Bacteria, Bacillati, Actinomycetota, Actinomycetes, Allobogoriellales, Allobogoriellaceae.
UCCGGUCCUCGGUAGUGGCCUCCGGAACCUGUGAGGGCGUCCGUGGGCCUCGAUCGAAGGCCGUC